CAAGUGCUGUCACCUCUACGGCAGUUGCUUGCAAAUCAAAAAUGGAUAGUUUUAUCCAACUCCUAAAUCUACGAUAUCACGAGCUGAAUUUGAGUUAUCUGGUUUAGGAAUACCUAAUUAUUGGUUCGUGCACUGGCUGCACCAUUAAUGUUAACAUUGUGAAUAAUAAAUAAAAUUAGGUAGUGUUAAAUUUUCUCACAAUUUGAAAGCCUUAAUUAUUGUCAUACAUUAAUAAAUGAAUGAUUUCUUGGAUUUUUGCUUGAUUGAGGAACAAAAAGGUUAAGAUAUAAAAAUCCCAUUUAGUUUACAUGCAGUGUGCGAAGUAAGUAUUUCGCACACUACUUCGCGCACGGUGUCAUGGUAACGAAGGAAAAUGAAAAAAAGGGUCACUUCGCAUAUUGUUGUCAAUGCGCGAACCUUGUCAUUUUUUGAC
Molecule: long non-coding RNA, 433 nt
Organism: Coccinella septempunctata (seven-spotted ladybird)
Lineage: Eukaryota; Metazoa; Arthropoda; Insecta; Coleoptera; Coccinellidae
Exons: 2
Source: RefSeq, a predicted model, not a curated record